Molecule: ribosomal RNA, 300 nt
Filed under: uncultured Neomoorella sp.
Lineage: Bacteria; Bacillati; Bacillota; Clostridia; Neomoorellales; Neomoorellaceae
Description: bacterial SSU rRNA
Rfam family: Bacterial small subunit ribosomal RNA (bases 52-300)
Source: RNAcentral
GCAAAGUGGGGGCGGGGAGCGGGGGGAAUGUGUAGGGUGGGGGUGGGUUCCGGAAUGUGUGGGCGGAAAGGGCUCGUAGGGGGUGUGUGAAGUCGGGAGUGAAAACUCCGGGCUCGACCCUGAGCCUGCUUCCGAUACGGGCAGACUAGAGGUAUGAAGGGGAGAACGGAAUGCCUGGUGUAGCGGUGAAAUGCGCAGAUAUCAGGAGGAACACUGGUGGCGAAGGCGGUUCUCUGGGCAUUACCUGACGCUGAGGAGCGAAAGUGUGGGGAGCGAACAGGAUUAGAUACCCUUGUAGUC